Molecule: long non-coding RNA, 1657 nt
Organism: Zerene cesonia (dogface butterfly)
Lineage: Eukaryota; Metazoa; Arthropoda; Insecta; Lepidoptera; Pieridae
Exons: 3
Source: RefSeq, a predicted model, not a curated record
UCGAGGCGCUCUCGCCCGCCGUCACCGCGGCCGCGCGGGCGCUCAUCGCGCUGCACGUCACGCAGGUGUUUGUGUGCAGGUCGCGGCGCGGGCUCGCCGCUCGCGCGGAGAUGGGCGCGCGGCUGGUGCGGCUGGCGCCGCUGGCGCCGCUCGCGCCGCUGCUGCGCGACCUGCGCCUGCCGCCCGACUGCGCCGCGCCCGCGCACCGACAGAUCGCUGCGGAGCUGGCGGAGCGCGCGUCGGAGCUGUGCCUCGAGUCGGCGCAGAGCUCGCCGCUGUCGGCGCCGCGCGGCGCCGCCGCCCACUGACCGGCGCGCGCGCAUGCGGGGCCCGGGGCAGUUCUAGAAACUUUUUUAACCCCCGCUCCCACCUCGAAGAAGCGAGAUUUUAAGACCCUUUUUUAACUCUCCUCCCUCGAAGAAAGGUAUUUUAGACCCCCCUCCCCCCCCCUUCCCUGCCCGAAGAAGGGUAUUUUAAGCCUUUUUCUAAACCUCUCUCCCCACCCCUGAAGAAGGAAAGGACAGGGAUGAGGGGUUCUUAAAAAAGUGACACACUGUGACAAGGUUGGCAAAGUGUGUCGGUUUUUAAGAACCAGCCCUUAUCCCGUGAUGUGACGUCACAUUUAUUAAAUUUUAUACUUUUAAAAAACGUAAUAAACAAGUCAUAUUCACAGUCAGAUCCAGUUUGUUUAUUUUUUAUUUGGCAUCAAUUUGCAAGUUGCAUUGUGACGUCACAAACAAUUUAUUAUAACGAGUGUAUUGUAUAUAUUUCGGGUGGUCGCGGGUUCGAUCCCCGUCGGAUUCAAAGCGUGUCGCUGGCCUGGCCAUUGUUAAUCUCUUGUUGCCUAUAUAAAUUAAAAAUAAUUCAAAAUUAAUGUACAAAUUUCUAUUUAAAAUCGUUCGAAAAAUUUAAAAAAAUCCACCAACACAUAUAUUUUUUUUAAAUACAUGUAGAUUACAUAUUUAAUUUUGUAUAAUAAUUCAAAUAUUUAGUUUUAAAACAUUUCAAUAGUUCACACAACACAUUGUAAGAGCGCGUUUAAUCGAAAUGACAUGUCGGUAAACUGAUCACAGAGGGCUAGUUUUGUAAGAGAAAUCUCUAGAAUUCUCUAUAUUAUUCCAAUAAUUAUUAUUUUUCUUAUAAUACGGUCUACAUUCGAUUAAACGCGAUUCAUUGCCUCGGUUAUGUAAUAUUUUUUAGUUGUUUUUUUUCGAUAAGUUCUUGUGCUAUUUUCACUUUACAUGCAUGCCAUUGCGUUUUUUUUUUUUUAUAAAUUUCAUUAAAUUUAUGAAACUUUUGACUGAACGCAUAAUUAACAUUCUGUGAGAUUCCAGAGAAACUCUACUAUAUAAUUUUAAUAUAGAUAGUUGAUUUUUUUUUGUGAUUUAAUGUAAUAAAGAUAUAAUAAAAAAUUGUGUACGUAUCGAACCAAAAGUAGGAGAAGUUUCAUUAGUAGGUAAGUCUAUCAUAAAAGCAAGCGUACACGCGUAAAUAGACUAGUAUAGUCCAAUAAUUUUGUAUUUCAUUUGUAAGUGUAAUUCGUGUAACGAAGUGUCUAUUUUAUGUUAUUUUUUUUUAUUAAAACUACCUACAGUAUGCGAAGGUUUUGGCCAAAUUAUCACAGAUAAUAUUCAUAGACGUAAAUAAAAAAUGUUUU